GAUGAAGAACGCAGCGAAAUGCGAUAAGUAGUGUGAAUUGCAGAAUUCAGUGAAUCAUCGAAUCUUUGAACGCACAUUGCGCCCCUUGGUAUUCCAUGGGGCAUGCCUGUUCGAGCGUCAUUUGUACCUUCAAGCUCUGCUUGGUGUUGGGUGUUUGUCUCGCCUCUGCGUGUAGACUCGCCUCAAAACAAUUGGUAGCCGGCGUAUUGAUUUCGGAGCGCAGUACAUCUCGCGCUUUGCACUCAUAACGACGACGUCCAAAAGUACAUUUUUACACUCUUGACCUCGGAUCAGGUAGGGAUACCCGCUGAACUUAAGCAUAUCAAUAAGCGGAGGA
RNAcentral lists this unclassified non-coding RNA (337 nucleotides) under soil metagenome. RNAcentral's name for it is "partial contains 5.8S ribosomal RNA, internal transcribed spacer 2, and large subunit ribosomal RNA". The stretch from base 1 to 120 matches the Rfam family "5.8S ribosomal RNA", at positions 35 to 154 of the family's 154-position model. The record is from RNAcentral.